GGGGGGGGGGGGGGGGGGGGGGGGGGGGGGGGGGGGGGGGGGGGGGGGGGGGGGGGGGGGGGGGGGGGGGGGGGGGGGGGGGGGGGGGGGGGGGGGGGGGGGGGGGGGGGGGGGGCGGGGGGGACGCCCCAAACCCCUCCUGAGCGACGAUGAGAGCGAGGACGAGCAGGAGGAGGAUCGCUCCGGCAGCGGCACUGAGGAUGACUGACCCCAACAUUCCACGGCUCCAGAAUUCUGCGAAACCCCAGAGCCUCCCGCCCCCCACCCCCAUUCUCCCCUGUAGCUCCAACAACAGCGACACCGGAAUUCCCAAAAUCCUGAAAAUCAAAAAAAACCACGCCCAACCUUGUCCGUAUUUAUACCAGAAUCGGCACUGCCACAGCCACCAGAGCUCCUGGCCCGGCCCAGAUCUGGGUGGUCCUGAAUGGUCCAGCUGGGCUCAUCCCAGGUUGUUUCAGAUGCUCCCAAGUUGUCCCUGCUCAUCCCAGAUCCAGAUUGUCCCGAGUUGUCCUGGACCAUCCCAAGUGUCCUGGGCUGUCCAGGGGGAUGCAGCUCAUCCCUGAUGGUCUUAGAUCCUCCUAGAUCAUCUGAGAUCAACCCUUGCAUUGUCCUGGGUCAUCCCAGCCUGUCCUGAGUGGUCUCAAUCUGGAUUCUCCUGGGUGGUCCCAGGUUAUCCCAGACCACUCUCCAUCCCCUGGGAUCCUCCCGGCUGAUCCCAGUCCCACCCCCCCCGUACUGUCGUUGUCCCUGGAUUCCCAUCAGUCGAUAAUUAAUUAAUAAAUUAAUCCAACGGAAGCCGGUCACCUCUACGGGAGAGCUGGGGUAGGCCUGGGAGGGAACUGGGAGGUUCCAGAGCAGUCUCAGGGAGGUGUUGUUGGGGUGACUCUGGGCACUGGGGGGUCCCUGGGGGAUUGGGGAAUCCCUGGGGUGACCCGGGGGGUGUCUCAGAGGGUCCCGCAGUAGGAUUCGUGUCAUUCCAGAGGCGCCGCAGCAACGACCCCUCCCUCCCCUGGGAAUAUGGGGGGUGGGGAGUUGGGGAGAGUUGAAGCCCUUUGUGCCCCCGUACCCCCAGAUCCUGCUCCAGCCUGCCUGGGAAUCACCUCCAUGAUUAAUCCCACGUGAAAAGUGGGAAAAC
RNAcentral lists this long non-coding RNA (1135 nucleotides) under Ficedula albicollis (Collared flycatcher). RNAcentral describes it as "lncRNA (ENSFALG00000027049.1)". The record is from RNAcentral. Lineage: Eukaryota; Metazoa; Chordata; Aves; Passeriformes; Muscicapidae.